UCCCUGGUGGCUCAGACGGUAAAGCGUCUGCCUACAAUGCAGGAGAUCCGGGUUCAGUCCCUGGGUUGGGAA
Bos taurus (domestic cattle) is the source of this 72-nucleotide non-coding RNA. Lineage: Eukaryota; Metazoa; Chordata; Mammalia; Artiodactyla; Bovidae. The record is from Rfam.